GACGAACGCUGGCGGCGUGCUUAACACAUGCAAGUCGAACGGUGAAGGGAUCAGCUUGCUGGUUCUGGAUGAGUGGCGAACGGGUGAGUAACACGUGAGUAACCUGCCCCCUUCUUCUGGAUAACCGCAUGAAAGUGUGGCUAAUACGGGAUAUUCUGGGUCUGUCGCAUGGCGGGUCUGGGAAAGAUGCGCCUUUGGGUGUUUUUGGUGGGGGAUGGGCUCGCGGCCUAUCAGCUUGUUGGUGGGGUGAUGGCCUACCAAGGCGGUGACGGGUAGCCGGCCUGAGAGGGUGGACGGUCACACUGGGACUGAGACACGGCCCAGACUCCUACGGGAGGCAGCAGUGGGGAAUAUUGCACAAUGGGCGCAAGCCUGAUGCAGCGACGCCGCGUGAGGGAUGGAGGCCUUCGGGUUGUAAACCUCUUUCGCCAGUGAAGCAGGCCUGCUUCCUUGUGGGUGGGGUGACGGUAGCUGGAUAAG
This 480-nucleotide ribosomal RNA is filed under the name Actinomyces sp. oral taxon B78. RNAcentral describes it as "bacterial SSU rRNA". It matches the Rfam family "Bacterial small subunit ribosomal RNA", at positions 28 to 487 of the family's 1533-position model. The record is from RNAcentral. Lineage: Bacteria; Bacillati; Actinomycetota; Actinomycetes; Actinomycetales; Actinomycetaceae.